AGUGAACGCUGGCGGUAGGCCUAACACAUGCAAGUCGAACGGCAGCACAGAGGAGCUUGCUCCUUGGGUGGCGAGUGGCGGACGGGUGAGGAAUACAUCGGAAUCUACUCUGUCGUGGGGGAUAACGUGGGGAAACUUACGCUAAUACCGCAUACGGCCUACGGGUGAAAGCAGGGGACCUUCGGGCCUUGCGCGAUUGAAUGAGCCGAUGUCGGAUUAGCUAGUUGGCGGGGUAAAGGCCCACCAAGGCGACGAUCCGUAGCUGGUCUGAGAGGAUGAUCAGCCACACUGGAACUGAGACACGGUCGAGACUCCUACGGGAGGCAGCAGUGGGGAAUAUUGGACAAUGGGCGCAAGCCUGAUCCAGCCAUACCGCGUGGGUGAAGAAGGCCUUCGGGUUGUAAAGCCCUUUUGUUGGGAAAGAAAUCCAGCUGGCUAAUACCCGGUUGGGAUGACGGUACCCAAAGAAUAAGCACCGGCUAACUUCGUGCCAGCCGCCGCCGUAA
This 506-nucleotide ribosomal RNA is filed under the name uncultured bacterium. RNAcentral describes it as "partial 16S ribosomal RNA". It matches the Rfam family "Bacterial small subunit ribosomal RNA", at positions 29 to 523 of the family's 1533-position model. The record is from RNAcentral.